GUUGAUGUAUAUUGAGCUCAAAUCCUGCACCUUGGUUUAGUGCUUAUAGUAUUCACCGCAUCGCACGCUCGCCUUGGAUCCAAGUAGAUGCUGGUCGCACAGUCCACGCGGAGUGGGUGCGACGGGCCAGUCGAAGAGUGUUAGUGAGAUUUCGACUGGUGGGUGACCUUAGAUUAUGUGCACAGAUGAUUAAUGAGAGAAGCACUAGAGCGUAACCUAUGUGCAGAAGGCCGUACAUGUCACAGAGGUGACUCCGGCAGAGUGAUAGUGAUAGAUUUUGAGCUCUAGAUUCAACCGUACAGGGCUAUUAGAGGGCCUCCGGUUGAUUUCUUUCUUGCACCUGAUAUGAUUAUUGUUGAUGCAUUCAUACUUAACUGUUCAAUUUAGACAUGGCAUGGCAUAACUGAUAUGAAAAAUGUUGAAAAAGUGAAUUGAAGUUUGAGAUUAUAUAUGUAUAUUUAUAUUUUACAUUUCUGGGAAAGUAUACAGGUUUUACGGAGAGGGGUUACAACGUUUUGAGAAAUGUUUGGAAUUGGAAAAGAAUUGUUUUACUGACCCACUCAAUUUUGGUUUUGCGCCCCUCCAGGUUCAGGAAUCACAAAGGUGUGGUGACUACGAGGAAUUCAGCGGGGUUCUGACAGAUUGGACAAAAUUAGGACUCACCUUCGGGUGUAUCAAAUUAUAAAUUGUAUAAUUAAAGCUUCCGUACUGUGCAAAUGGUUACGUCACUCUCACGUGACGGCCAGCAUGCCCUCCUUCGGGACGGGGUGUGUCAGUUGGUAUCAGAGCAUGGUUGCAAUCUUGGACAUCUUGAGAAGUUUCUAGUGAAUUCUGUCAGAACUACACCGCCUCGUAGCAAGCUACGUAGUUAGAGGAACUUAGUCUCCCUGAUUUAGCGGUUUAGGAGGACACUAUUACUAUGGUGAUUCAGUCUAUUGUCUAAAGGGACAUUUUAAGAUGGGUAAUGAGUUGAACUUGAAUCACUUAAGAGAAAUGAUGAACCUGAGGGAGCGAAGUAACGGUUUAACCGUUUGGAAAAGAAGUUUCGGAUUAUGCGAGUCAAAGGAAUCUUCCUUCUGACAAGGCGUCGAGACGACUACCUGGUUUUGGUUAUGAAUUUGUAUCCUGGUGGAAACAGGAGUAUGAUUUGUUGUCACCGGAGGAACAGUCGAUUGAGAAUUGUUUAAGGACUUGUUUAAGGAAAAGUUUAUCCCUCCGGCAUUUAUCGAUGGUAGUAAGCAAGAGUUUGCAAAUGUGAAUCAAGGAAGUUGACGAUAAAUGAAUAUUAUAGAAAGUUUUCAGACUAGCCUCGUUCCAUCCAGAUAUUGUUGUUAAUUUGGUGGAGGUGUUAUGUGUUUUAAGCUGGGUGGCAAAAGGGAAAUGGUAUUUUGGGUGACCACUAUCCAUUGUAGUUCUUAUCAGGAGUAUGCUAGAUGUUGUUGAGCCUUGAGGACUCUGAGAACAUGAGCAACGAGAAUAAAGAAGAAUAAGAAAUGAAUGGGAAUCAAAAGAAGACGAUAAAGUUAAUGAUUCGUCAUAUCAAGGAUAUAGAAAGAUUCAGAGCUUCGAAAGAAGUGAAGCUAGAGUUAAUUCUUCCAGCUGAGGUUUUAAUGUCGCUGGUCAGAGUAAAAGUGAUGGAUAUACUGGUAAUCCCAGAUAUUUGAGACAAGGUGUCUCGAGUAAAGGAAAUGUACCUUGUGCAGCAGGUACAAAAUUAACACUUUGGGAAGUGUGAAAUUAAUGAAUGUGUUUAUGUGAACAGAGGGGACACAGAAUUGUGAAUCGUCCCUAGAAUCAGUUGUACUCAACAAUUUUCCAUGAUAUCAUAGUGUCAAUUCAGCAGGUUUAUGAACUUAGUAGUUUGGUCGGAUUGACCGUGAGUACAGAGAGAUUUGAUGAAUUAUAUGUUCAGCCGUACAGACCAUGAGAAAUUAGUGAGUUAUAGGCUCGGCCGUACCGACCACGCGGAGUGGAUCCGGCCGACGUAUUAUUGAGAUGAGAGUUGAAUCAGCCGUAUUGGUCAUUCUAAUUGACUUCGGCUGAUAUAUUUCUUAUUAUGUAUGUUAUUACCUAGAGAGUAGUAAAUAAAUGUAGUUGAGACGAGUGUAUGUAUUUUGCAUUGAGUGACAAAAUAGUAAUGUUAUAUUUUUUUGAGUGGUUGCCUACUUAUCGAGACAACGAUGAUUUAUCAGUAUUGCGGGCUGCAGACCGUAAUAUUAAUAACUCAUUCGUGGAUUCGUUAAGCAAGCAAACCGGUAGGUUAUUUUAUGUUAGUGUUGUACUUAUUCAGAAUGCUUAGUAAUAAUAGAAUAUAUAUUGUGUCGGUUAAAUUAUUUCCAUUAGAUUGGUUGGUUAUAAUUGUGACUAGAUGGAUUGUUACGGGAAACCAGUCACUUUCCAUCGAUCUGGAUGAUCAGAGGUUACCUUAAUGAGUGGGCAUGCAAAGUGAAGUGAGUUCAGCCAUUAUUUAUGCUGUGAAAACAAAGAGAUUGUUUUGAAAGGCUGCCCAAAAAUACUUAGUUCAUGUGGUACUAAAUGAUGUUGUUUGGAGUAGUGUGAAUAAUGUCAAAAGGGUUAGACUUUUCUUGAUGUCUUCCUUGAAAGUAUACCUGGAUUGCCUUCGGGCAGAGAUAUGAGGUUCACUAUUGAAUUGUUGCCAGGUAUAAAUUUAUGUUAAAGAAUUGGUUGAUAAAAGUUUUAUUCAACCGAGUACAACACUUUUGAGGAGCCCCAGUUCGUUGAUGAGAAAGAAAAUGGACUUUAAAGACUAUUCAUUGAUUAUAGACAAUGGAGUCGGGUAACGAUUGAGAACCGUUAUCCAUGGUGAUGUACUGAUGUUUAUUUAACCAGCUCAGAAGUAAUUGCGAAGAUUCAAAGAUUGAAUUGAGAUCUGGUUACUACCAAUUGAAUAUUAUAAGUGACGUUGCUCAUAAGAUGGUUUUCUGGACUUGUUAUAGUCUUUAUGAAGUUUGGUGAUGUUAUAUGGAUACUCAUGUUGUUUUAUGAGUUGAUGGAUGAAGUAUUCCACGAAUGCCUUGAUAAAUUGAUAUCAUUUUCAUUGAAGAUAUUCUGGCAUAUUCUGAGCCAGAGCAGAGCAUGUAAACGUAUUAAGUCGGUGGAACAAAGAUUGGAAGAAUGUCGAUUGUAUGCUAAGUUUAGCAAAUGCGAAUGUUGGAUGAAUCAAGUAGCAUUCUGAGAUUUGUUAUAUAUUCUUAAGGUAUUCAAGUGAAUCCUUAAAAGAUAGCAGAAAGUGAGGAAUUGGAACAACCACGAGUUGUAAUUGAGAUUCGGAAUUUCUUAGCUUACCAGGCUAUUUUGGAUGGUUGUGAAAGAAAUUUUAGUCAUUGCUUUGUCAUUGACGAGACUGUUGAGAAAGGAGGUUAUGUAUGAGUAGGAAGGAAAUUGUGAGCAAAGGAUUCAACAACUGAAGUAUUUCCUCACUCAUGCACGUGUAUUCCCAGAGAAUGGUGGUACUCAUAUAUUUUUAGUGAUGUUUCUUGAAUGGUAUUGGAGGCAUGUUGAUGCAAAUGUUAGGGUGAUUGCAUACAUUUCACGAUAAAUGGAAUCUCAUAAGAUGAAUUACCCUACGGGUGACUUGGAAGUCACGAUUACCAUCCUUGCUGUGAAGUUAUGGAGACAUUAUAUUUGUUAAGAAUGCAAGAUUUUUUACGAACCCAAAAAGUCUUCAAUAUCCAUUACUUGGAAGGAUUUUGAUAUGAGGCAGCGAAGGUGAAUUGUAUUGCUUAAUGAACAUGAUUGUACGACCAGGGUGAUCGUAAAAUUGUUCUAGCUGAUACACUUGGUGAAAAGAUUGCAGUAAGAUUAAUGUCUGGCACGUUUGCCAAGAGUAUCAUCUUGUGGAUUGAAAACCAACGGAAGAAAAAUUAAGAAUGGAAGAUCGAGAAGAAGUUAUAUUUAUUAAAUUUUCAAGUUAGGCCUGUUUGGUAAGGUCGUACUCGAAACUUAAAUGUUUGACGAGGAAAUUUAAGAAUUAACCAAGGCAGAGAAAGAAGGGAAAAAGAAUGAGUACAUGAUUCGUGAAUCAAAUGGUAUGUGGAUACAAGCAAACGAAAAAGUAUGUGCCUAAUGCUGAGGAUUUGAAGCAAGCAAUUUUGGACAAAGUACACUGUUCAGCUUCUGCAAUAUUCCAAAAGUAAUAAGAUUUAUCAUACCACUCGACAGUUUUAUUUGAUCAGCAGAUUGAGGCAGAAAGAGAUAAACCUUUGGAUUGAGACAGCUAUUUUCUGUUUCGCAGCGGAAAUGGAAAAAGAUUACUUUGGAUUAUGUGUACAAGCUUCCUUGUACACAUAAUGGUUAUGGUCGAAUUUGAAGUGUUAGUUGGUCAAUGUACCAAGUUAGUACAAUUACUCCAGUGCUGAGUAAUAACUUUUCCCAGACAGGACAACGGUACUUAUUUGCUUUAUGGAAAGAAGAAUUGGUUUACGGAACUGCUGAGUUUCUUAAGUAUGUUGGUUGUGCAGUUUCUGAAGUAACGCCAUAAGAACCAUGAAAUGUGUCAUGUGAGUCGGUUUUUGUUGACUUGUGGAUGGAAUGUUGCUGGUUAGAGAAAGAUUCGAUCACGAAAGAAGUUUAGUAUACCCAGAAACUAUGGAGGAGUCUCCUAAAAGUAUUCAGGUGAUUAAGUGAACCUGAAAGUAACCAGGAGUGGCAAAAGAGAUUAACAGAAGGAUAUGCCACUAAUCAAGUGUUUAACGUAGAAGGUUUUAUAUUUUCGAAGUUUUCACCUUGGAAAAGUAUAGUUCGAUCUGGAAAGAAUGUAAGUUAAAUCCUAAGUGAAUCGGACUUUAAGUGAUUAUCGAAAAGUUGGUGAAGUUGAUUACAGAUUUGAAUGGCUUCCAGAGUUGUCGUAAGUGCAUGAUGUGUUUUAUGAUUUGAUGCGUUGUCACUAGGUGGCAGAUUCGUCACAUGAGAUUCUGGUGCAACUAUUGAGAAUUAAACUGGAUCUGAUUGAUAAGGAACUAAGGACGAUUUUGGAUUGGAGAAAGGAAGUCCUAAGAAUUAAAACAGUGUAAGUGGUAAAAGUUUUGUGAAGAAAUUAUUCGAUGGAAGAAAUUACGUGGGAGAAAGAGAAUCGGAUGAGAGAGAUUUACCCGAGGCUAUUGUAUGAGUAUGGUUGAUUUAGUUGGUUGCUGGAAUUUCGGGGACGAAAUUCUAUAAGGAGGGAAGAUUGUCACAGCCCGUCCCGGAAUUUUUCAUUCCGAGGACGUGAAGUUACGAAAAUGUCCCUAAACGGGACUAAAGUGCGUAAUUUGGACGCCUGUUUUUACUUAAGGUUCUUAAACUUUGUUGAAUUGGAAUAUUAAUUGGUUUUAGAAACCUAAACCAAGACUUAUACUUAGGUUUCUAUGUUGAAAGUUUGAAAUUGGAAAAAAGACCACGUGGGAUCCCCACAUCCCUCAAAACCCUCCUCAUUUCCCGUAUACUGUCAUUCUCUCUCUCUUUUCCUCAGACCUCACUCUCUCUCUCUCACCCUCUCGAACACACGGGCAACCAUCAAAACCACCCUAAAUCUAUACCAACGCCGGAUUUAAAACUACCAUUGCACUCCUGAGGACUCCACGAUCACGUAGACACCAAUUUCAGGUAAGUUUUACUUCGGAAAACCUAGAUUCUAAACUCCCCGUGAAAGUGCACUGUUCAUGCACACGUAAAUCUUGAUGUUUCAGGGAAUUUCAAGCUCACAUUGAGCUUAAGGAGGUCACGAGGAGGCUCGGAGUGCCUCGUUUGAACAAAAUGGACGUCGGGAUCACUUGGUUCGAGUUUGGCCGAAUUUUGGAAUUAUUGGAAAGGUAUGAUCUCGUUGUUUUUAGACCUUAAAACCAUUCCAACGUGAUAGUAGGUGUUUAGGGCUUCAUUUUGGUAUAAAGUACGAAAAAAAUGGACGAAAAACGAGUGAGAAUAGUUAAAUAGAAAUUUUUCCCAGUUUUCCGGUGACCGGAGUCCGGCGUCCGGCGAGAGUCCAUCGGAGAAGAAGCAGGAAUAUUCCGUUAGUUCUAACGGAAUAUUCCUGACGCCGUUAACGGAACGGUUAGGUUUUAACGGAAUAUUCCUGACGGCGUCAAUUGACACCGUCAGUGUGCUUGGCACGUGGCCGCGCGUGGGGGGCGCGUAGGUCCGUGCCACGUCAGGCGCGUGGGGGCGCGUGAGGACUCCAAAAAUUAUUUUAAAAAUAUGGGGAUGAUCCUGAGGUUGUUUAGGUCACGGUGGUAUAUUCAUAUACCCAAUUUGAGCAAUAUAUGAGGAGUUAUUAGCUAAGAGUGGGAUUAUGCGUUAAAUAACGUCAAUUUGGUUACUUCUCGUAUAGGCGAGGAUUAUACGGACAUCGGGCAUGGCCAAAGGAUGCUCAGGGACCUACGAGACGUCGAUGUAAUCUGUGAGUGGGCAGUUUUGUUUUCCGUAUAUAUAUAUAUACUUGACGCUUUCCCAGAAAUUGAAUUAGAAUGAAAUUAUGUUUUAAAUGAAAGGUAUAUAGAAUGAUAUGAAAACGUGAAUUGAAAGAUCAUGCAUAGAAGUAUAUGAAAUAUAUAUGGAAAUGUAAAUUGAAUUGCCAUGCAUGAAAUGAUAUGAAAAGUAUGAUUUGAGAUAUAUGAUGCAUAUGAAUGAAUGGUGCGGCGGACGCACAGGUGAGUAUCAGGUGAGUAUUUAAUUACUGUUAUGAUGAUGUUGAUGUAUAUUGAGCUCAAAUCCUGCACCUUGGUUUAGUGCUUAUAGUAUUCACCGCAUCGCACGCUCGCCUUGGAUCCAAGUAGAUGCUGGUCGCACAGUCCACGCGGAGUGGGUGCGACGGGCCAGUCGAAGAGUGUUAGUGAGAUUUCGACUGGUGGGUGACCUUAGAUUAUGUGCACAGAUGAUUAAUGAGAGAAGCACUAGAGCGUAACCUAUGUGCAGAAGGCCGUACAGGUCACAGAGGUGACUCCGGCAGAGUGAUAGUGAUAGAUUUUGAGCUCUAGAUUCAACCGUACAAGGCUAUUAGAGGGCCUCCGGUUGAUUUCUUUCUUGCACCUGAUAUGAUUAUUGUUAAUGCAUUCAUACUUAACUGUUCAAUUUAGACAUGGCAUGGCAUAACUGAUAUGAAAAAUGUUGAAAAAGUGAAUUGAAGUUUGAGAUUAUAUAUGUAUAUUUAUAUUUUACAUUUCUGGGAAAGUAUACAGGUUUUACGGAGAGGGGUUACAACGUUUUGAGAAAUGUUUGGAAUUGGAAAAGAAUUGUUUUACUGACCCACUCAAUUUUGGUUUUGCGCCCCUCCAGGUUCAGGAAUCACAAAGGUGUGGUGACUACGAGGAAUUCAGCGGGGUUCUGACAGAUUGGACAAAAUUAGGACUCA
RNAcentral lists this long non-coding RNA (7345 nucleotides) under Malus domestica (apple). RNAcentral describes it as "long non-coding RNA (MDOM_LNC021110)". Lineage: Eukaryota; Viridiplantae; Streptophyta; Magnoliopsida; Rosales; Rosaceae. The record is from RNAcentral.